This 328-nucleotide unclassified non-coding RNA is filed under the name soil metagenome. RNAcentral's name for it is "partial contains 5.8S ribosomal RNA, internal transcribed spacer 2, and large subunit ribosomal RNA". The stretch from base 2 to 119 matches the Rfam family "5.8S ribosomal RNA", at positions 37 to 154 of the family's 154-position model. The record is from RNAcentral.
GUGAAGAACGCAGCGAAAUGCGAUAAGUAAUGUGAAUUGCAGAAUUCAGUGAAUCAUCGAAUCUUUGAACGCACAUUGCGCCCUCUGGUAUUCCGGGGGGCAUGCCUGUUCGAGCGUCAUUAUAACCACUCAAGCUCUCGCUUGGUAUUGGAGUUCGCGAUCCCGCGGCUCCUAAAAUCAGUGGCGGUGCCUGUCGGCUCUACGCGUAGUAAUACUCCUCGCGAUUGAGUCCGGUAGGUUUACUUGCCAGCAACCCCCAAUUUUUACAGGUUGACCUCGGAUCAGGUAGGGAUACCCGCUGAACUUAAGCAUAUCAAUAAGCGGAGGA